UCCCUCUUUGUGAUAGAUUUCCGAUAACUCACUUGAAGAUCGCCAACAAUCAUUUUCACCAGUUUCAGUUCUUCACAAGAAUAAGGUGUUGUGAGUUAAUUGUCCAAGUGUUAGGAUCUCGUUUUUGAGCAAAAUAUGUGGGAGUGUUUUGAUCAAAGUGUUAAAAGUGGGAGCUAAUGGUAAAAUGAUACACAUUAUGUAAUUUAGCCAAGAGUGUGAGAGGUUGUGCCCUAGUAGCUGGGGGCUGGGACCAUCUGUGUUCCAAAAAAGGUUAACAAAGUUAAGAAGACCGAAACUGAUGAGCUUGAGACGAAAAAAAAGAAGUGGAGCUUCUGAAGAAUAUAAGAUCAAUUAGUGAAAGGGAAUGGACUUGUGGAGAGAUGGAUCCAUAAAGCCUUGUUGCAGAAUUUAUUCUAGAAGUUAAAAUUACUUUAUUAUUUAUGUUUAAGUUAGAGUUAAUUUUAUUUAAGAUAUAACAGGUCAUUUGAUUUGAAUGUCUAACUUGUAAGGAGAACCUCUAUUAUCUCAGUACUUGU
Nicotiana attenuata is the source of this 536-nucleotide long non-coding RNA. RefSeq lists it as uncharacterized. The record is from RefSeq and is a predicted model, not a curated record. Lineage: Eukaryota; Viridiplantae; Streptophyta; Magnoliopsida; Solanales; Solanaceae. The transcript is spliced from 3 exons.